This 21-nucleotide microRNA is filed under the name Caenorhabditis elegans. RNAcentral describes it as "cel-miR-392-5p". Its record names the gene cel-miR-392-5p. The record is from miRBase by way of RNAcentral. Lineage: Eukaryota; Metazoa; Nematoda; Chromadorea; Rhabditida; Rhabditidae.
AGCAUUCGUGGUUGAGGAUAU